UACGUAGGGUGCGAGCGUUGUCCGGAAUUAUUGGGCGUAAAGGGCUCGUAGGCGGUCUGUUGCGUCAGGAGUGAAAACUCGGGGCUUAACCCCGAGCCUGCUUCUGAUACGGGCAGACUAGAGGUAUGCAGGGGAGAACGGAAUUCCUGGUGUAGCGGUGAAAUGCGCAGAUAUCAAGAGGAACACCUGAGGUGAAGACGGGUUGCUGGGCUGACACUGACGCUGAGGCGCGAAAGCCAGGGGAGCAAACGGG
RNAcentral lists this ribosomal RNA (253 nucleotides) under uncultured bacterium. Its description in RNAcentral is "partial 16S ribosomal RNA". It matches the Rfam family "Bacterial small subunit ribosomal RNA", at positions 524 to 776 of the family's 1533-position model. The record is from RNAcentral.